UUGCCAGCCCGAUUCCCACACCAUCACUCUCAAUUCUCACCGAAUUUCUCCUCAUCUUUCUGGCCCCGCCUCUAUCGUACUCGUAUCCCCUCUGUGGCCGCCGCUUCUCAACUCAACAAUUCCUUUGCUUGCCGCUGGUUCUCAAUAAUCCCGUUUCUAAGCUGCCGUUUGCUGGCGGUCGACUUCAACCAUUUGCUGCUCAUCUGCUCUCCUUCCGCUCAUUUCUGCCAACUGCCAGUUGCUACAACUACUACCCUUUGGCCUUUGCUUCCGUUUUUCUGCUCAGUGCUCACUGCUACUGGUGUUUAGGUAUUUGAGUAUUGGUUUUGGAAUUGCAGGAUUCACUUCUGCUUCACUUUCCUUGCGACAAACUUUUUUGUUCUUAUUGCCUUAGAUGGAAAGUGAUAAUCUUGCAUACAUGGAACUUGCAAUUCACCAGGCAAAACUUGCUAUGGAGAGUCUUGAAGUGCCUGUUGGUUGCGUAUUCAUUAUGGAUGGGAAUGUCAUUGCCUCGGGUAGAAAUCGAACCACUGAGACACGAAAUGCUACAAGGCAUGCAGAAAUGGAAGCCAUAGACAUUCUUCUGGAGAAGUGGCAAAGAGAUGGGCUUUCGAAAGCAGUAGUUGCUAAAAACUUUUCACAAUGUGUUUUGUAUGUUACAUGUGAACCAUGCAUAAUGUGUGCUGCAGCUUUGUCAUUUCUUGGCAUAAAGGAAGUAUAUUAUGGUUGUGCAAAUGAGAAAUUUGGAGGAUGCGGAUCAAUUUUAUCCUUGCAUUCCAGUUUCUCAGAGCCAUUCAUCAGUGAUGAAAUUCCACAAAGGAAAGGUUUCAAAUGUACUGGAGGAUUAAUGGCCUCAGAAGCAGUCUCUCUUUUCCGAAGCUUCUACGAACAGGGGAAUCCUAAUGCUCCAAAGCCACAUAGGCCUCUAGUUCAAGAGAAAGCCGAGCGAUAAUUAUAGGGUUUGGUGUUGUCAAGUGAUUUAAAAGUGAUCAAAUGUUGGCCAUAAAGCUGUGAAAUGGAAGGUAAAGGGAGGAGGAUGCAAUGCAUAGGUGUUCCCCUCAAGAACUUUAUUAUUAUUAUUAUUUGCCUUUGUUCUUUUCCGCUACAUAUUUCUUAACCUAUAAGAAGGGGUGAACCGUCAACAGCCGACGAACCUAACUUAAUCCCAUCAACAAGAAUAUAAUAAUAAUCUUUUGUGUAAACUAAAUGACCCCAUAGAGUGUCUAAUUGAGAUUAUACACUUUGUUCAUACAAGGGAUU
Molecule: RNA transcript, 1260 nt
Organism: Hibiscus syriacus
Lineage: Eukaryota; Viridiplantae; Streptophyta; Magnoliopsida; Malvales; Malvaceae
Gene name: tRNA-specific adenosine deaminase TAD2-like
Exons: 12
Source: RefSeq, a predicted model, not a curated record